GAUGAACGCUGGCGGCGUGCCUAAUACAUGCAAGUCGAGCGAACAGACGAGGAGCUUGCUCCUCUGACGUUAGCGGCGGACGGGUGAGUAACACGUGGAUAACCUACCUAUAAGACUGGGAUAACUUCGGGAAACCGGAGCUAAUACCGGAUAAUAUAUUGAACCGCAUGGUUCAAUAGUGAAAGACGGUUUUGCUGUCACUUAUAGAUGGAACCGUGCCGCAUUAGCUAGUUGGUAAGGUAACGGCUUACCAAGGCGACGAUGCGUAGCCGACCUGAGAGGGUGAUCGGCCCCACUGGAACUGAGACGCGGUCCAGGCUCCUACGGGAGGCAGCAGUAGGGAAUCUUCCGCAAUGGGCGAAAGCCUGACGGAGCAACGCCGCGUGAGUGAUGAAGGUCUUCGGAUCGUAAAACUCUGUUAUUAGGGAAGAACAAAUGUGUAAGUAACUAUGCACGUCUUGACGGUACCUAAUCAGAAAGCCACGGCUAACUACGUG
Molecule: ribosomal RNA, 497 nt
Filed under: uncultured bacterium
Lineage: Bacteria
Description: partial 16S ribosomal RNA
Rfam family: Bacterial small subunit ribosomal RNA
Source: RNAcentral